RNAcentral lists this ribosomal RNA (405 nucleotides) under uncultured prokaryote. Its description in RNAcentral is "bacterial SSU rRNA". It matches the Rfam family "Bacterial small subunit ribosomal RNA", at positions 355 to 774 of the family's 1533-position model. The record is from RNAcentral.
UUAGGAAUCUUGCGCAAUGGGGGCAACCCUGACGCAGCGACACAGUGUGGAGGAGGAAGGUCUUCGGAUUGUAAACUCCUUUUAUGAGGGAAGAAUAGAUGACGGUACCUCAUGAAUAAGCACCUGCUAACUACGUGCCAGAAGCAUCGGUGAUGCGUAGGGUGCGAACGUUAUCCGGAUUUAUUGGGCGUAUAGAGAAGCGUAGGUGUUUUUGUAAGUCUUUAGUUAAAUACCACGGCUCAACCGUGGAGAAGCUUUGGAAACUACAGAAAUUGAGACAGGAAUGGGCGAAUGGAAUUCCCAGUGGAGCGGUGAAAUGCGUUGAUAUUGGGAGGAACAUCAGUGGCGAAGGCGAUUCGCUGGUCCUUGUCUGACACUAAGGCUCGAAAGCGUGGGGAGCGAAAC